RNAcentral lists this ribosomal RNA (542 nucleotides) under uncultured fungus. RNAcentral describes it as "eukaryotic LSU rRNA". The stretch from base 126 to 279 matches the Rfam family "5.8S ribosomal RNA". Lineage: Eukaryota; Fungi. The record is from RNAcentral.
GCUCACACCUUCACAAACCCACCGUGAACCUUCACGGCGGAAGGAGGGAGACCUCCCGAAGCCGCAUACCAAACUCCAGUUGCAAAGAAUGUCGUGUGGGCUUUGCGCCACCUAAAACACAAAACAACUUUCAACAACGGAUCUCUUGGCUCUAGCAUCGAUGAAGAACGCAGCGAAAUGCGAUAAGUAAUGUGAAUUGCAGAAUUCAGUGAAUCAUCGAAUCUUUGAACGCACCUUGCGCUCCUUGGUAUUCCGAGGAGCAUGCCUGUUUGAGUGUCUUGAAGUCAUCAACCCCUUCCGUUUCGUGCGGACUGGGUUGGAAGUGGGGGCUUUGCUGCCGUGAGGCGGCUCCCCUCAAAUGUAUCGGUUGGGCCUGUGGGUCGAACUCGACUGGGCGUUGUACCAUCCUCGCUCGACAGAGACGUUCCCCUGUUGUGCCCUUCCCCGACCUGCCUCUCAGAGUGGCGGUCAACAUAUUUGAAAUCUGACCUCAAAUCAGGUAGGACUACCCGCUGAACUUAAGCAUAUCAAUAAGCGGAGGA